Molecule: ribosomal RNA, 233 nt
Filed under: uncultured bacterium
Lineage: Bacteria
Description: partial 16S ribosomal RNA
Rfam family: Bacterial small subunit ribosomal RNA
Source: RNAcentral
CGGGUGAGUAACACGUAUCCAACCUGCCGUCUACUCUUGGACAGCCUUCUGAAAGGAAGAUUAAUACAAGAUGGCAUCAUGAGUUCACAUGUCCGCAUGAUUAAAGGUAUUUUCCGGUAGACGAUGGGGAUGCGUUCCAUUAGAUAGUAGGCGGGGUAACGGCCCACCUAGUCUUCGAUGGAUAGGGGUUCUGAGAGGAAGGUCCCCCACAUUGGAACUGAGACACGGUCCAA